This 494-nucleotide ribosomal RNA is filed under the name uncultured bacterium. RNAcentral describes it as "partial 16S ribosomal RNA". It matches the Rfam family "Bacterial small subunit ribosomal RNA", at positions 28 to 507 of the family's 1533-position model. The record is from RNAcentral.
GACGAACGCUGGCGGCGUGCUUAACACAUGCAAGUCGAACGGAAAGGCCUGCUUUCCCUUGUGGAUUGCGGGUACUCGAGUGGCGAACGGGUGAGUAACACGUGAGUGAUCUGCCCCCAACUUGGGUAUAAGCCUGGGAAACUGGGUCUAAUUCCCGAUAGGACUGCAGGGUGGUGCCUGUGGUGGAAAACGAUUUUCUAGUGGUUGGGGAUGAGCUCGCGGCCUAUCAGCUUGUUGGUGGGGUAAUGGCCUACCAAGGCGGCGACGGGUAGCCGGCCUGGGAGGGUGGACGGCCACAUUGGGACUGAGAUACGGCCCAGACUCCUACGGGAGGCAGCAGUGGGGAAUAUUGCACAAUGGGCGGAAGCCUGAUGCAGCGACGCCGCGUGGGGGAUGACGGCCUUCGGGUUGUAAACUCCUUUCGACCGCGAGGAAGCCACCUGGUUGGAAGGGUGGUGACGGUGGUGGUAGAAGAAGCACCGGCUAACUACGUG